Molecule: unclassified non-coding RNA, 279 nt
Filed under: Hevea brasiliensis (rubber tree)
Lineage: Eukaryota; Viridiplantae; Streptophyta; Magnoliopsida; Malpighiales; Euphorbiaceae
Source: RNAcentral
GAGCUGGAUAUUGGAGCUUGAUUUGCCAACCUGAAGCAGAGGGCCAGAGUUCGUUCAGUCACUUUUACAUGGAACAAUAGUAGUAAUUUAACCGCAAAAAACCCAAAAUUAGAAAAAUCGAAAAAGAGACUACAUAGAACAUUUAGAGAAGUCAGUCACGUCUGAGAUGAUUGAUAGAGGCUGUCCAAAACAACAAUAUCAAACCAUUUUACAGCUUUUCCAAAUCUCUGACCAUGGCUUGUACUUGGCGCUUGGAGCAAUAUCUUAACCAGUGUCCAU